CAGCAGCCACGGGAAAACGUAGGGCGCAAGCGUUGUCCGGAAUUAUUGGGCGUAAAGAGCUCGUAGGCGGUCUGUCGCGUCUGGUGUGAAAUCCCGAGGCUCAACCUCGGGCUUGCAUCGGGUACGGGCAGACUAGAGUGCGGUAGGGGAGACUGGAAUUCCUGGUGUAGCGGUGGAAUGCGCAGAUAUCAGGAGGAACACCGAUGGCGAAGGCAGGUCUCUGGGCCGCAACUGACGCUGAGGAGCGAAAGCAUGGGGAGCGAACAGGAUUAGAUACCCCUGUAGUCCCUGUCUCUUAUAA
RNAcentral lists this ribosomal RNA (301 nucleotides) under uncultured bacterium. RNAcentral's name for it is "partial 16S ribosomal RNA". It matches the Rfam family "Bacterial small subunit ribosomal RNA", at positions 509 to 809 of the family's 1533-position model. The record is from RNAcentral.